This 578-nucleotide ribosomal RNA is filed under the name uncultured bacterium. RNAcentral's name for it is "bacterial SSU rRNA". It matches the Rfam family "Bacterial small subunit ribosomal RNA", at positions 57 to 647 of the family's 1533-position model. The record is from RNAcentral.
GCAAGUCGAACGGUGAACCGGAGCUUGCUCUGUGGGAUCAGUGGCGAACGGGUGAGUAACACGUGAGCAACCUGCCCCUGACUCUGGGAUAAGCGCUGGAAACGGCGUCUAAUACUGGAUAUGUGACGUGACCGCAUGGUCUGCGUCUGGAAAGAAUUUCGGUUGGGGAUGGGCUCGCGGCCUAUCAGCUUGUUGGUGAGGUAAUGGCUCACCAAGGCGUCGACGGGUAGCCGGCCUGAGAGGGUGACCGGCCACACUGGGACUGAGACACGGCCCAGACUCCUACGGGAGGCAGCAGUGGGGAAUAUUGCACAAUGGGCGCAAGCCUGAUGCAGCAACGCCGCGUGAGGGACGACGGCCUUCGGGUUGUAAACCUCUUUUAGCAGGGAAGAAGCGAAAGUGACGGUACCUGCAGAAAAAGCGCCGGCUAACUACGUGCCAGCAGCCGCGGUAAUACGUAGGGCGCAAGCGUUAUCCGGAAUUAUUGGGCGUAAAGAGCUCGUAGGCGGUUUGUCGCGUCUGCUGUGAAAUCCGGAGGCUCAACCUCCGGCCUGCAGUGGGUACGGGCAGACUAGAGU